UACGUAGGGGGCAAGCGUUAAUCGGAAUUACUGGGCGUAAAGUGUGCGCAGGCGGCCGCGCAAGUCGAGUGUGAAAGCCCCGAGCUUAACUUGGGAAUUGCGCUCGAAACUACGUGGCUGGAGUGUGGCAGAGGAAGGUGGAAUUCCAGGUGUAGCGGUGAAAUGCGUAGAGAUCUGGAGGAACACCGAUGGCGAAGGCAGCCUUCUGGGCCAACACUGACGCUCAUGCACGAAAGCGUGGGGAGCAAACAGG
Molecule: ribosomal RNA, 253 nt
Filed under: uncultured bacterium
Lineage: Bacteria
Description: partial 16S ribosomal RNA
Rfam family: Bacterial small subunit ribosomal RNA
Source: RNAcentral